GACGAACGCUGGCGGCGUGCUUAACACAUGCAAGUCGAACGGAAAGGCCCUGCUUUUGUGGGGUGCUCGAGUGGCGAACGGGUGAGUAACACGUGAGUAACCUGCCAUUGACUUUGGGAUAACUUCAGGAAACUGGGGCUAAUACCGGCUAGGAGCUCCUGCUGCAUGGUGGGGGUUGGAAAGAUUCGGCGGUUGGGGAUGGACUCGCGGCUUAUCAGCUUGUUGGUGGGGUAGUGGCUUACCAAGGCUUUGACGGGUAGCCGGCCUGAGAGGGUGACCGGCCACAUUGGGACUGAGAUGCGGCCCAGACUCCUACGGGAGGCAGCAGUGGGGAAUAUUGCACUAUGGGCGGAAGCCUGAUGCAGCAACGCCGCGUGCGGGAUGACGGCCUUCGGGUUGUAUACCGCUUUCGCCUGUGACGAAGCGUGAGUGACGGUAAUGGGUAAAGAAGCACCGGCUAACUACGUG
Molecule: ribosomal RNA, 468 nt
Filed under: uncultured bacterium
Lineage: Bacteria
Description: partial 16S ribosomal RNA
Rfam family: Bacterial small subunit ribosomal RNA
Source: RNAcentral